CAGCAGCCGCGGUAAUACGAGGGGGGCAAGCGUUGUUCGGAUUUAUUGGGCGUAAAGGGUGCGUAGGCGGUUUGGCAAGUCUUGUGUGAAAUCUUCGGGCUCAACCCGAAGCCUGCACGAGAAACUACUGGGCUUGAGUAUUGGAGAGGUGAGUGGAAUUUCCGGUGUAGCGGUGAAAUGCGUAGAUAUCGGAAGGAACACCUGUGGCGAAAGCGGCUCACUGGACAAUAACUGACGCUGAUGCACGAAAGCUAGGGGAACAAACAGGAUUAGAUACCCGGGUAGUCCCUGUCUCUUAUAC
RNAcentral lists this ribosomal RNA (301 nucleotides) under uncultured bacterium. RNAcentral's name for it is "partial 16S ribosomal RNA". It matches the Rfam family "Bacterial small subunit ribosomal RNA", at positions 509 to 807 of the family's 1533-position model. The record is from RNAcentral.